Passer montanus (Eurasian tree sparrow) is the source of this 3126-nucleotide long non-coding RNA. RefSeq lists it as uncharacterized. NCBI's taxonomy places the organism in Eukaryota, Metazoa, Chordata, Aves, Passeriformes, Passeridae. The record is from RefSeq and is a predicted model, not a curated record. The transcript has 5 exons.
CGGCCCCGCCUGGCCGGGCCCGGGCGGGGUCUGCGUCUGGCUGGGGAGGGUGAAGUCGGUGAACUCGAACUCGGAGCCCUGCGUGUCGGCGCCGAGCAGCUCGGCCUCCUCGGUGUCCAGGAAGGACAAAGCCUGGCCUGAAUCAACGUGUUCCAGAUCUGCAGCUGCCGGGCUGAAAAGAUGAGGCUGGAAAACAUCCUUGUCCUGGGAGUAUUGGGCAGCAAAAGGAGGGGAAAAACCAAAUCCAGGGAACACAGCAGCCACCACUUCUGCAGAGACUGAAUUCAUCUUGUUCUUGAGCAGAAUCAACUGUUCAGAGCAAAGAGUAACGGGGAGGAAGCGUGAAAUAACAUUUGAGGAUGAAAGUGGAACCAGAGGGGAGGGGAAAAAAAAGAAAACACUACAAAGCCAGGUGGCUGCUUGCUGCAAACACUUUUAUUUAUCAAUGAACACAACACUCUCCAAACCUUUGGCUGCCCGACAGACUCCUCAGAAGUCUUGGGAAGGGAUGAGAGUUGUGCUGCUGGGAGGGUUCCGCUGGCUGUGCCCGCCGCAGCUCGGGCAGCGGGGCUGUGGAACGGCCCUGCUGUGCCAGCAGCGCUGCAUGUGCCCCCUCGGGUGGCCCUGGGGACACUCUGGGGCUGCUGUCUGAGGUGCUGGAGCUGCAGAGCCCCCGGCACGGCCUGCGCGGGGCUGCAGAAGGGCUGGGGCAGCUGCAGUGGGGGUUCUUUGUGGAUUUGGGGUAAUUCCCAGCGCAGCGCUGGGAGCCCUCGGGAGCCCGAGGACACCGUGCAUGCCAGGCAGGCUGCAGAGCUCCCGGGCUGCGGUUUGCUGUGCUCUGUGUGAGUUUGCUCCCUUCUCCUGCUGCAGAGGGGAGGCUGUGACUCACCGGGCUCGCCUGCCGUGGGCUUGGAGCUGGCACAGGCUGGCACAGCUCCCUGCCAGCGGUGCUGACGCCUGUGCCCUGCAGAGAGGAGCUGGCACUCACCAGGAGAGCAGAAACGUGAGUGCAUCAAGGCUUCAAAGACACUCCUGCUGCAGGGCUAAAUCCAUAGGGGAAAAAAAAAUUGGGAAUUAAUUUUUCCAGUGCAGCUGGGCCAUUUCUCCUGAGUCACCACGAGAGGGACACAGAAGGAAAGGAAAAAUCCAAGGAGCAGCUCGAGGUUUAACUGGGGAUAAAUAUUCCCAGAACAAGUCAUGGGGAUGUAACUCCCUGAAGGAAAAGGAGGAGAAGAUUUGGGCCAAAAUCCAGGGAUUUUGAAUGAAGAAAGUUCUCAGAAAUGAGUGAAGUUCCCCUCUCCAAGCCAUGCCUGGAUAUUUGAUUUCCUUGGGAAAGCUGGGCCCUCUGAGCAGCUUUUGCUGCUGGGACACUCAGCUCUGCCAGCAGGAAAGUUGCUUUUGUCAUUGCCAUUUCUCCACCUGAGGCUUGGGGUUCCUGGAACUGGGGAGCUUCUCCUGGAAGAAGUGCUGCAGGCAGGAAUGGCUUGUGCAGAAAGCUCUCCAAGGCUGCAGAGGUGUCCAGGAGGCAGCUGGGAUCUGGAAUUCUCUCUCCUGGUGGGUAUUUCUUGAUGAGCACCCAACGUGCCCUGGCUCCAGGGGAUGUUCAGGGAAGAGCCUGAGCCUGUGCUGGCCAAAAGGAGUUGGAAUUUCAUGGAGGCAACGCUGCAAAAAUGCACAGGACUGAUGUGGCUUCCAUCUGGAAUUCAAAUUAAAGGCAUUUGGGACCAUCACAGUCAGGCCAGACCUGUGCCCUGGCAGUUUUUGGGUGGGAAGAGCAGUUCAGAUGAAGCAAGGCUGACUCUGGAUCUCUCCACAGCCCAUGAUCCUGAAAAUUAUUAUGGAAAAAGCAGCUUUGCCCUUGAGGCUGUUUUGCAGCUCUGGGUGGGGUCAGCAGAAGGCACUGCCAGCUCUCUCCAGGGCCAGUUCAUUCCUGGGAGAUUUCUGGGGCUGAGAUUUUCUGGAAAACUCCAGAGGUUUGGGUCAGUCUCCAUCCUGCUUCUUUCUGGAGAGCUUCCCACCCCUUGUGAGCCUGCACACGCCGUUUUUCCAUUUCUCUGGAAGUGACCAAAAACCCCAAAACAAGCCCAGAGCCUGGAUGAUGCUGAAUUUUCCUCUGAGCUCAUCGAGGAUGUCCAAAGCAGCACCAUUUGCAGAUGGGGCCAAGAAUCUGUAAUGUCUCAAAGCUGAGCAAAAUAAAACGUGUGCGAGAGGAGAGAUGGGUGAUAAGGGGAGCUGAGGGGGUGGGAGCCAGGGGAAGAUGGGUUUGGGAGCCAGUGGUUGUCCCAGAAGCCAUGAGGGGGUGAAAUGAGCAUUUCCACAGUGCAGCUGUUGGUUUGAGCCUCUUUAAUCAAUUAUUUUGCUAUAUAUUUGUUAAUUACCUUCAGGAAGGAGCUGCAGCUCCAGACUGGGAAGAUUCUCCUGCAUGGAAGUGUUUCCCACUGGUCCCCAACUGCUGCAGGGUUUUAUUGCUGGAAUUUCCUCUCCUUCUUAUUUGGAAAUUCAUCUUUUUAUUGGAGGAAAUCUUUCUUUGGAGAGAGACAAAGGCCAGGGUGAGGAAUCCUGAGGUGUCCCUGUCCUUCCCCACGCCCUGGGCAUCUCUGUGCCUUCAUCCUGCUCCCAGCCAGGACCCUCCUUGCUGGAAAACCCCUGGAAUGCCUCAGGAAAUCCUGGGAGGGGGACACGGGUGAGGGAGUGACACCCCAGGGCUGUCCUGGGACUGUCCCUCUGCUCAGCCCCCAGGAGCUGCAGUUCUGGGAGCAGUUCCCAAAGGAAUUUCAAGCAGAUUUUGGGGAAGAAAGGAUCGAGACAAAGCUCUGCUCCACCACCCAGGAGAGGAAGAAUUUGAUAAUAAAUCCAUUUUCUUAUUCAAGAUCCUCAAUUUCCUGAAGGACAAUGAGACCACUUCAAAGAACAACAUGGAGAAUUUGCCUGUGCUUCCUCUGCCCCUCUUUUCUUUGUGUUCUUCACAAAUGUCCCCAUUCCACAGCAAAAAAACCCAAACCACCUAUCCUGGAGAGUUCUCAUUGUAACUCAGAAAGGUUUUCUCCCCCAUUUUCCUAUCUAAGAAAAGCCCUUUUUCCUCACACAAGUGUUCAAUGACUCCUAUUAAAACCAAAUUUAAGUGAA